Molecule: ribosomal RNA, 274 nt
Filed under: uncultured bacterium
Lineage: Bacteria
Description: partial 16S ribosomal RNA
Rfam family: Bacterial small subunit ribosomal RNA
Source: RNAcentral
AUACGGAGGGUGCAAGCGUUAUCCGGAAUCAUUGGGGUUAAAGGGUCCGCAGGCGGACUAAUAAGUCAGUGGUGGAAUCCUCUCGCUUAACGAGAGAACUGCCAUUGAAACUGUUAGUCUUGAAUUCGGUCGAAGUAGGCGGAAUGUGUCAUGUAGCGGUGAAAUGCAUAGAUAUGACACAGAACACCGAUAGCGAAGGCAGCUUACUAGACCUGGAUUGACGCUCAUGGACGAAAGCGUGGGGAGCGAACAGGAUUAGAUACCCUAGUAGUCC